GUGCUCGUUUUUGCAGCACAUGAACAAAAAUUGGAACAAUACAGAGAAUAUUAACAUGGUCACUGCCCAAGGAGGACACACAAAUUCAGGAAUCAUUCCAUAUUGGU
Molecule: small nuclear RNA, 107 nt
Organism: Molossus molossus (Pallas's mastiff bat)
Lineage: Eukaryota; Metazoa; Chordata; Mammalia; Chiroptera; Molossidae
Source: RefSeq, a predicted model, not a curated record